UCAAUUUCAAGUUGAUGACUAUAUUAUGGAAUGAUAUUGACAAUACAAUAAACGAUAAGCUAAACUUGGACAGAUGAGUCACACACCGCACAAAUUUUUGCAUCAAUAUGUUCUACCAUGCCAGAAACUGUCCAACUAAUGCAUGACAAAUCGCUGUGAAAUGUCAUAUCUGUUCAACAAAUGGAAGUCCCCAAUUUAUCAUGCUGCUUCAGCACCAUAACCACACUUUAAGACCUAAAUAAUGCCAUCCCGACCAAGCAUAUGAUCAAGGUUUGAUUAUCUAGCUGAGAAAAUGAUCAUAAAUUAAUUAGACAAUUUUUUGGUUAAAAUAGAAUGUGACCCUACAAAUUUUCUGGACAAACAAAAGAUAUCACAUGCUAAUCUCAAUCCUAGAGCAAGAAGAUGAAAUUUCAAGUAACAGAAGAACUAAUGUCGGAAAAUCAUUACACUAAGAAGACAUUGCAUAAUUAGGACCAGGUUUCUCUUCAACCAGCUUAGCAAACGCACAUCUGGUCCUCAUAUUGUAAAUUUUCCAUUCUCGUAUAAAGAAACAGGGGAAUUUUUUAUUUUUUAUUUUUUGAUAAAUGAGUUAUCAUGUUCCUGUAAACAACUCUCUACACAAGCGAAUGGUCUCAUCAUUAAUCUCAAAAUGUUUUGAUUCGUAGAAAUGCUGUAUUUUCUACAAUUCAUUCCCAAUAAAUCUCUAAACUUCCAAGAAUCAUGUUUUGUUAAAAAUCCCUUACUUCAAACACCCACAUCAAGGACCCUUCACAGAGCACCAAAGUCACCUAGCUACUAUUUAUUAAUAAUUUUUACUUCAGUUCUAAUACAACCUAAUCCCCAUUAAAUCAAAGAAACCAAAGAUUUUGGAAUCCUUUAGGAUCCUCUUCUCUUCCUAAUAUUUUAAAUCUUCUAUUUCAUAAACAAUGGGAUAAGAAAAUCUUUAGAAUGCAGAAAUUCAAUGAUAUCUUUUUCAUGAAAAUUAAAAAUUUUAUCGUACCAAUUGAUUUGGAAAUUUGCAAGAGAUUUUCAAAACUGUAAAAAGCCAAACAGAGAAAGUUUACAUUGUGGUUUUUCAAAACCAGACAAAACCCAUGCAAUAGAAGACAAAAAAUUGUGGAUGGUGAUUUAUUAGGAUCUUAACUAGAUAUGAGCAAAAACAAAUAGAACUCCAAAAUCUCGGUGUUUCCAGAGCCCAAUUACAUUUCCUUGUUAAAAUCCCAAAAACACUAAAGAUGAAUUAACUAGACAUUAAAUAGUUUUACAGACAGAAGUUGAGGGAAUAUGUUUUUGAGUGAGCAUCAAUACUUCCAAAAUUUUGGAUGGUUGAAUAUCUCUUGCUACUAAUGGUAAAACCAUAGAAAACAAGCAUAGUUAAUAGGGUCUUAAACUUGAAAAGUACAAGAAUUUCUGCAGGGACGACGGAUAUGCAAAUUCUGCAAUACUCAAAGAUAAAUGAUAGUUUCUCCUACUCUCGUAUUCUCCAGAGGCUUCUACUAAACGGUAGCUUCUUGUUUUAGAUGUAAAAUCUAGAAAGAUAAAUGAAUGUUUUGAGUUUUACCGGUUGGAAGAGAAAUUUGAUAACCUAACCUCGUUUGAUUAUGAAAACAGUUAUGACUGCUGUUUUCCCCUUUCUAUCACAUUGUCUUUCUUGACAAGAAAAGUAAGUACAAUACCAAGGCAGUGCCACCAAUGGUAAAAGUAAGGAUUACAAGUCUAAAAGUCAUCUACAUCUUCCUCCGAAGGGGAGGAUGAUCCUUGAACAAGAAAUAGAAGGUCUCGAACCAAAAGACCUCCAGUUGGAGAAGAAGGAAUGCACUCCCCUAAGUCCUCUUGUUUCUCUGGACAAUAAUAAUUGUCUGCUAAAUCCUACAUUCUACUCUAACUCUUAUUUUCUGCUUUAGAUGCUCCUAUUAAUCAUAAUUCUUUCCUCCCUAUAUGCAAUAUGAAGAGUCGGUUUUUCUUGAUUUACUGCCACCAAAAAACCACAUAGGUAGAUUAUCAAAAUCUUCCCUGCGUCAAGCAAUGAUUGUGACCUCCUUCAGAAACAACCCAAAAUCAUGCCAUUAAGAGAUCUGUAUUUGGCCCAAGUUCUGAUCCAUUGACUUCCUAAGGAACUUAAAAAAUAAAAAAUUAUAAUCUAAGGCCACUAGAGGACAUACACUGGAAAUUGAAGGACAACUAUCAUCCAUUUUCAAUUGUCAGUUACUGUAGGCAGCCCAUUCUUCUCUGUUCCUUCCAAAUCAAGAAGAAUUUUUUUUCCAUCUGGGAACAGUCACAAAGAAUACGACGCCAGCAAGGUUACAAUCACCAAAUUUCUGGAUCUGUUUCACCCACUAAAAUGCACAAAUUUCAAAAUUAAUUUUACUAGACAAUACAACUAAUCACAAACUGUAAGAUACAUCUAAAUGAGACAACUCCCAGUACUUGAUUUCUGAACAAUUAUCUUUUAGAUAAGCAGUGCUCUGAAAAUUGUGGCGCGUAACUGAAUCAAGGAGUUGAGAAUUUUUUUUUCCUGUGAUCAGAAACCAACUAUUUAGCUGAAGAGCUCUUUCUUCCUUUCAGCAUUAUGACACAUAAUCCAAAGAACACCAUGUAAUAAAGAGGGAAUCAGAUUAUGUAAGAGAAAUAAUAUCACCUUGUGCAUAUAGUGAACUAAUACCUAUAUUAGUUAAACAGCAAAGGACCAUCUAUAUCCAUAUUGGGAUAAUUAUCACAUUCCACAAAUGUAAAACUUGACAUAAAGCACAGACGAAACAGAGACAAGUUAAAGACUAGAUAACAGCAAAAAUAACAAUAACAUAAAAGCCUAUCAUCGAAUUCACUCCACUUCCUACAUCUGUCAAAUUCUGACAAUUGGCCGUAAUACAACUUAUUGCCAGUAUUGGCCACACUUCUAUAUAUCUAGAGAGAGAGACAGAAAGAGAGAGAGAGAGAGAGAGAGGGAGAUAUACACACAUACUUGCGUACGCACAUAUACACGUAUAUUUACUUCUCACAUCUUAAACUAAACUCACUAUUCUCUAUCUAGACUUUUCAUUUCACUUGGCUCAACUUUGCAGAAUAUCUUCUUCCUACAAUGGAUCCAAGAUUCUUAUCAACACAUAACCAAAGUCUUACACAUAAAUACCAAUAAUUCAUACACGUUUCAAUUUUCGGCAUUAAUCAUCAUAAAAACCAUCGAGGGGCAACUCUUUAAACAAUCGAACCAGGAAUUUACCUUGAUAAACCAUAGAAAGUUCUCGUCAGGAAAAAUGUUAAUGUACAUAAACUACCUAAUUUUCGUGAGACAGAGAUUCAACAACACUUGUCAUUUUCUCUUCUCGACCAAUUUAUGAUGUUUACCAAACAGGUGUUUUCAUGAAUAUUUUGAAUCGCAUGUCAUAAGAUCACCGAGAAACGUUUUGUUUCUGCAAAUUCCAGCAGCGGAAUAUUAACGUCUGCGUAUGAAAAAAAAAAAAAAAAAAAGCACUUACAGACUUUGAAGCUCACUCGAAGAUGAACCCUCCAUGCGAAGUGCGCGAGAAAUAAAUUUUCCCGGUUCCCCUUUUUAUAAGGGCGCAUUUGAAUUUGAGUCUGCCUCCAAUUUUACUUCU
Molecule: long non-coding RNA, 3596 nt
Filed under: Carica papaya (papaya)
Lineage: Eukaryota; Viridiplantae; Streptophyta; Magnoliopsida; Brassicales; Caricaceae
Description: long non-coding RNA (CPAP_LNC008147)
Source: RNAcentral